CCUACGGGAGGCAGCAGUGAGGAAUAUUGGUCAAUGGACGCAAGUCUGAACCAGCCAUGCCGCGUGCAGGAAGACGGCUCUAUGAGUUGUAAACUGCUUUUGUACGAGGGUAAACGCAGAUACGUGUAUCUGUCUGAAAGUAUCGUACGAAUAAGGAUCGGCUAACUCCGUGCCAGCAGCCGCGGUAAUACGGAGGAUUCAAGCGUUAUCCGGAUUUAUUGGGUUUAAAGGGUGCGUAGGCGGUCGGAUAAGUUAGAGGUGAAAUCCCGAGGCUCAACUUCGGAAUUGCCUCUGAUACUGUUCGACUAGAGAGUAGUUGAGGUAGGCGGAAUGUAUGGUGUAGCGGUGAAAUGCUUAGCGAUCAGACAGAACACCGAUUGCGAAGGCAGCUUACCAAGCUACUUCUGACGUUGAGGCACGAAAGCGUGGGGAGCAAACAGGAGUAGAUACCCCAGUAGUC
This 460-nucleotide ribosomal RNA is filed under the name uncultured bacterium. RNAcentral describes it as "partial 16S ribosomal RNA". It matches the Rfam family "Bacterial small subunit ribosomal RNA", at positions 338 to 795 of the family's 1533-position model. The record is from RNAcentral.